Molecule: small RNA, 73 nt
Filed under: Pseudovibrio exalbescens
Lineage: Bacteria; Pseudomonadati; Pseudomonadota; Alphaproteobacteria; Hyphomicrobiales; Stappiaceae
Description: Nesiotobacter exalbescens Makes More Granules Regulator RNA (mmgR)
Rfam family: Makes More Granules Regulator RNA (mmgR)
About the family: SuhB later renamed mmgR (makes more granules regulator) was a putative non-coding RNA found multiple times in the Agrobacterium tumefaciens genome and related alpha-proteobacteria.
Source: Rfam by way of RNAcentral
GUGCGCCGCCCUCCUUGGGCGUUUCCUCCCUAGACUCAAGGCCGUCCAAGAGGCGGCCUUCUUUUUAUUCAGC